Molecule: long non-coding RNA, 493 nt
Filed under: Manihot esculenta (cassava)
Lineage: Eukaryota; Viridiplantae; Streptophyta; Magnoliopsida; Malpighiales; Euphorbiaceae
Description: long non-coding RNA (MESC_LNC002476)
Source: RNAcentral
AGUUCAAUCUCAUCGUCAGAAUCUCCGAGAUGUUUCUUUAAUGGCUGGUUCUGGAGUUUCCACGUUUCUCUAUCCCAUGCCUCAUCCAUUUCAGGCAAUGCAUAGUUGUCGGGUCUUAACGACAGUUGGAAAUCUGGCAGGUCAGGCAAUGCUUGCAAAGCCCUGCACCAUCUUGUUAUUAUUAUAAAGAAUUUUCACUUGAAUUUCUGAAUUGAACAUUAAAAUGAUAAGUUUAUAAAUGAAAGGAGUUGAGUUGAAAUGAGAUUUAAGAAUGGAACUGCUUACUUCUCUUCUUCUAAUAGGUAGCCAUACAUCUGAGAUUUCCUGGAAGCAACCUCAGGAAUUUUCUGAUGCAAGUACUUCAUGGCACCCCAUAAAGGAGGAGAUCUUGCCAAGAAAAUCAAUUGAUUGUGAAGACAAAUGAUCAGAAGGAUCUAGAACAAUCUAGAUAAUUUCCAUACCCUGAUUAACAAACCAGAGAAUUGUAACACCA